Phyllostomus discolor (pale spear-nosed bat) is the source of this 203-nucleotide long non-coding RNA. RefSeq lists it as uncharacterized. Lineage: Eukaryota; Metazoa; Chordata; Mammalia; Chiroptera; Phyllostomidae. The record is from RefSeq and is a predicted model, not a curated record. The transcript is spliced from 3 exons.
AGCUUAUUACAUUUAAGUUUUAUCAGCUUAAUUCUACCCAGAGUGGUUGAUCCUCAAGGAUCUCAGGGUUCUACACCAAGUAAAAGGCAACCUAAUCUAGUAGCAAUGUUUUUAGCCCUGGCUGCUGUGGCUCAAUGGCCUGAAUGCCAGCCUGUGAACCAAAAGGUCACUGGUGCGACUCCCAAUAAGGGCACAUGCCUGGG